AUUAGCCAUGCAUGUCUAAGUACACACGAAUUAAAAGUGAAACCGCAAAAGGCUCAUUAUAUCAGUUAUGGUUCCUUAGAUCGUUAACAGUUACUUGGAUAACUGUGGUAAUUCUAGAGCUAAUACAUGCAUUAUAAACACGGACCUUUGGGACGUGUGCUUUUAUUAGGCUAAAACCAAGCGAUCGAAAGGUCGUUAUUAUGGUUGAACUCUAGAUAACUUGCAGAUCGCAUGGUCUUGUACCGGCGACAGAUCUUUCAAAUGUCUGCCCUAUCAACUUUUGAUGGUAGUAUUUAGGACUACCAUGGUUGCAACGGGUAACGGGGAAUCAGGGUUCGAUUCCGGAGAGGGAGCCUGAGAAACGGCUACCACAUCUAAGGAAGGCAGCAGGCGCGUAAAUUACCCACUCCCAGCUCGGGGAGGUAGUGACGAAAAAUAACAAUACAGGACUCAUAUUAGAGGCCCUGUAAUUGGAAUGAGUACACUUUAAAUCCUUUAACAAGGACCUAUUGGAGGGCAAGUCUGGUGCCAGCAGCCGCGGUAACUCCAGCUCCAAUAGCGUAUAUUAAAGUUGUUGCGGUUAAAACGUUCGUAGUUGAACUUGUGCUUCAUACGGGUGGCACAACUAUAAUUGUAGUUUGUGCUGUACCUUAUGUAUGUAAGCGUAUUACCGGUGGAGUUCUUAUAUGUGUUAGGUACUUGUAUUUUUCACAUAUUCCUCCUAUUUAAACCUGCUUCAGUGCUCUUCAUCGAGUGUUGUUGUGGGCCGGUACAAUUACUUUGAACAAAUUAGAGUGCUUAAAGCAGGCUCCAAAUGCCUGAAUAUUUUGUGCAUGGAAUAAUGAAAUAAGACCUCUGUUCUACUUUCAUUGGUUUUUAGAACAAGAGGUAAUGAUUAAUAGAAGCAGUUUGGGGGCAUUAGUAUUACGACGCGAGAGGUGAAAUUCUUGG
This 951-nucleotide ribosomal RNA is filed under the name Tachina luteola. RNAcentral's name for it is "SSU rRNA". It matches the Rfam family "Eukaryotic small subunit ribosomal RNA", at positions 44 to 923 of the family's 1831-position model. Lineage: Eukaryota; Metazoa; Arthropoda; Insecta; Diptera; Tachinidae. The record is from RNAcentral.